Long non-coding RNA from Hipposideros armiger (great roundleaf bat), 193 nucleotides. RefSeq lists it as uncharacterized. NCBI's taxonomy places the organism in Eukaryota, Metazoa, Chordata, Mammalia, Chiroptera, Hipposideridae. The transcript has 3 exons. The record is from RefSeq and is a predicted model, not a curated record.
AUUAUACUGAGUGUGAGCAGCCAGACCAAAACCUCUGUGAUGGCCAAGAACAAGGACUGGUGACUAGAACUUCAGCACUGUGGUGAAGGGUCCUGGAAGCAGAUAUCCUGCUGUGUUCCUGAUCUCGGAGGCAAUAAAACUGAAGCUUAAGAGAGGACCCAAGAUGGUGGAAUAGGUAAACACUGAGUUUGCC